GAUGAACGCUGGCGGCGUGCUUAAUACAUGCAAGUCGAGCGAACGGACGAGCAGCUUGCUUCUCUGAUGUUAGCGGCGGACGGGUGAGUAACACGUGGCUCACCUACCUAUUAGACUGGGCUAACUUCGGGAAACCGGAGCUAAUACCGGAUGAUAUUUUGAACCGCAUGGUUCAAAAGUGAAAGACGGUCUUGCUGUCACUUAUAGAUGGAUCCGCGCUGCAUUAGCUAGUUGGUAAGGUAACGGCUUACCAAGGCAACGAUGCAUAGCCGACCUGAGAGGGUGAUCGGCCACACUGGAACUGAGACACGGUCCAGACUCCUACGGGAGGCAGCAGUAGGGAGUCUUCCGCAAUGGGCGAAAGCCUGACGGAGCAACGCGGCGUGAGUGAUGAAGGUCGUCGGAUCGUAAAACUCUGUUAUUAGGGAAGAACAAAUGUGUAAGUAACUGUGCACAGCGUGACGGUACCUAAUCAGAAAGCCACGGCUAACUACGUG
This 497-nucleotide ribosomal RNA is filed under the name uncultured bacterium. RNAcentral describes it as "partial 16S ribosomal RNA". It matches the Rfam family "Bacterial small subunit ribosomal RNA", at positions 28 to 507 of the family's 1533-position model. The record is from RNAcentral.